Molecule: ribosomal RNA, 867 nt
Filed under: Haemophilus influenzae
Lineage: Bacteria; Pseudomonadati; Pseudomonadota; Gammaproteobacteria; Pasteurellales; Pasteurellaceae
Description: bacterial SSU rRNA
Rfam family: Bacterial small subunit ribosomal RNA
Source: RNAcentral
GCCUACCAAGCCUGCGAUCUCUAGCUGGUCUGAGAGGAUGACCAGCCACACUGGAACUGAGACACGGUCCAGACUCCUACGGGAGGCAGCAGUGGGGAAUAUUGCGCAAUGGGGGGAACCCUGACGCAGCCAUGCCGCGUGAAUGAAGAAGGCCUUAGGGUUGUAAAGUUCUUUCGGUAUUGAGGAAGGUUGAUGUGUUAAUAGCACAUCAAAUUGACGUUAAAUACAGAAGAAGCACCGGCUAACUCCGUGCCAGCAGCCGCGGUAAUACGGAGGGUGCGAGCGUUAAUCGGAAUAACUGGGCGUAAAGGGCACGCAGGCGGUUAUUUAAGUGAGGUGUGAAAGCCCCGGGCUUAACCUGGGAAUUGCAUUUCAGACUGGGUAACUAGAGUACUUUAGGGAGGGGUAGAAUUCCACGUGUAGCGGUGAAAUGCGUAGAGAUGUGGAGGAAUACCGAAGGCGAAGGCAGCCCCUUGGGAAUGUACUGACGCUCAUGUGCGAAAGCGUGGGGAGCAAACAGGAUUAGAUACCCUGGUAGUCCACGCUGUAAACGCUGUCGAUUUGGGGGUUGGGGUUUAACUCUGGCGCCCGUAGCUAACGUGAUAAAUCGACCGCCUGGGGAGUACGGCCGCAAGGUUAAAACUCAAAUGAAUUGACGGGGGCCCGCACAAGCGGUGGAGCAUGUGGUUUAAUUCGAUGCAACGCGAAGAACCUUACCUACUCUUGACAUCCUAAGAAGAGCUCAGAGAUGAGCUUGUGCCUUCGGGAACUUAGAGACAGGUGCUGCAUGGCUGUCGUCAGCUCGUGUUGUGAAAUGUUGGGUUAAGUCCCGCAACGAGCGCAACCCUUAUCCUUUGUUGCCAGCGA